UCAUCCGGCGAUGUGUGCU
This 19-nucleotide unclassified non-coding RNA is filed under the name Escherichia coli. RNAcentral describes it as "RNA (5'-R(P*GP*AP*UP*GP*UP*GP*UP*GP*CP*U)-3') from Escherichia coli (PDB 10MB, chain R)". Lineage: Bacteria; Pseudomonadati; Pseudomonadota; Gammaproteobacteria; Enterobacterales; Enterobacteriaceae. The record is from RNAcentral.